AGCAGCCGCGGUAAUUCCAGCUCCAAUAGCGUAUAUUAAAGUUGUUGCAGUUAAAAAGCUCGUAGUUGAAUUUCGGGGUUAGUAGGUUGGUCAUGCCUCUGGUAUGUACUGGUCUCACUGAUUCCUCCUUCCUGAUGAACCGUAAUGCCAUUAAUUUGGUGUUAUAGGGAAUCAGGACUGUUACUUUGAAAAAAU
Molecule: ribosomal RNA, 195 nt
Filed under: uncultured Glomus
Lineage: Eukaryota; Fungi; Glomeromycota; Glomeromycetes; Glomerales; Glomeraceae
Description: partial 18S ribosomal RNA
Rfam family: Eukaryotic small subunit ribosomal RNA
Source: RNAcentral